GAGCUUUUUCUAUUUUAAUAGAAGUGACAAUAUACCUUUUGCAUAAUGGGUCAAUGAGUUUAUUUGUGAAGCAAGUUUUUUCUUAAUAAAGUGAGACUUAGUGAGAACGAGAACAUGACUUUUUAGUUUUACAAAUAAGACCCGAAACCAAGUGAUCUAUUCAUGACCAGGUUGAAGAUUUUUUUGAAUUGGAGGACCGAACUCGUGUAUGCUGCAAAAUACUGAGAUGAGUUGUGGAUAGGGGUGAAAGGCCAAUCAAACUCGGAGAUAGCUGGUUCUCCUCGAAAUUUAUGGAGGUAAAGUGUUAUUUUAGGUUGUUUUUUUUGUAAAGCACUUUGUCAAUGAUGGGGUAUAGUUCCUACUGAUUUGAUAAAAACUUUGAAUAUAAAGAACAAUUCGAAAUAGCAAUCGGAAUUAAGGUGAGAAGGUCUUAACUCAAAAGGGAAACAGCCCAGAUCAUCAAUUAAGGCUUCUUAUUUUUUUUUAAUAGGGACGAGAAGUAAAUAAGUAAUGUUUAGGAUGUAGGCUUAGAAGCAGCCAUCCUUUAAAGAAAGCGUAAAUGCUCACUAAAUUUCUUUAUUUGCUUCGAAAAUAUAAUGAGACUGAAAAAAUAAGCCGAAAUUGUGAAAUUCUUGCAAAUAAGAAUUGGUAGCGGAAUGUUUUGUUUUUCUCAGAAUAACAAAUUCAUUAAAUUUGUUGUAGGAAUCAAAAGCAAGAAUGUUGAUAUGAGUAACUUAAAAUCGUGUGAGAAACGCGAUCACCGAAAGUCCAAGGGUUUCUGGUAGAAGGAAAGUCCUUUGAAGAAUGAGACGAUUUCUUAUGCUGAAUUCCAAUGUGAAUGUUGAAUGAAAAAUAACAUAUAACAAUUGUUUUCCUCAGUUCAAAUAAAGACGGACUUUUGUAAUUUUAUUGAACGUGUGUUCUGUAGAUUCCAAAGUUCCUGGAAAAAUUUUUGAAAAAAAAAAUUUUUUUUGAGAUCGUACCCGAAACCGACACAGGUGGACAGGUAGAGAAUACUAAGGUGAUUGGGGUUAUCAUGUUGAAGGAACUCGGCAAAAUGGCACCGUAACUUCGGGAGAAGAAGUGUAUAUAAGGGUAAUAUCUUUUAUAUAUGAGACAUAACAGGGAGGAACGACUGUUUUCCAAAAACACAGGACCUAGCUAAGUUUAACGAAUGAAGUAUUAGGUCUGACGCCUGUCCGGUGCUGAAUUUUCGAAAGAAAAUAGCCCUUUCAUAAUAGCUAUUUUUAUAAGAACCAGUAAACGACGGUCCUAUUUUGAGGAUCCAAAGGUAGCGAAAUUCCUUGUCAUUUAAUUGAUGACCCGCAUGAAUGGCGUAACGAUUCCUCCACUGUCUCCAACAUGAACUCAGUGAAAUUCAAAUGUCUGUGAAAAUGCAGACACCUCGCAGUAAGACGGAAAGACCCUAUGCACCUUGACUAUAUCCAUUUAUUGAAUUAAGCUUUUUUUAUGCAUAGGAUACGCUUGUUUUUUUUAAAGUUUUGAAAAUGAUUCUUGUAAUAAAGCGCAUAAAAUUACUUUUUUCGAUGAAAACCGACAGGUUUUACUCAAGUAAAUGGGAGGUAGUUUGACUGGGGCGGUUGUCACCUAAAUGGUAACGGUGAUGCACAAAGGCGUUUUUCAAUGAUUAUUUCAUUUUAAAGUGUAAUAGCAAAAGUUCGCUUGAUUUGUAAACGAUCGCGUUUAUGAAAGAUGAGAGAAUCUGUUAUAGUGAUCCGGUCGCUCAAAGUGGAAGGGCCAUCGCUCAACGGAUAAAAGGUACUCCGGGGAUAACAGGCUUAUCUCCCCCAAGAGUUCACAUCGACGGGGAGGUUUGGCACCUCGAUGUCGGCUCAUCACAUCCUGGGGCUGGAGCAGGUCCCAAGGGUUUGGCUGUUCGCCAUUUAAAGUGGUACGCGAGCUGGGUUUAGAACGUCGUGAGACAGUUCGGUCCCUAUCUACUGCGAGUGAAAGAAAAAGAUGUGUGAACUCUUUUUUAGUACGAAAGGACUAAAGAGAGCAUGCCGAUUGUGUUCCGAUUGUUGAAUGACCAGCAGUGUCGGGUAGCUACGCAUGUGUGAGCUAAUUUCUGAUGGUAUCAAAGAAAGAAUCCCGCACGCAUUUUUUUCUUAGAGAAUCGUGAUAAAAGCUCACGUAAUAAUAGGUUUGGUGUGUGAACUAAGUUAUUGGUGAAGCUAACAAAUACUAAUAUUUCGAAAAUAUUUUUUCU
Molecule: ribosomal RNA, 2230 nt
Filed under: Pleurostomum flabellatum
Lineage: Eukaryota; Heterolobosea; Eutetramitea; Acrasida; Tulamoebidae
Description: 16S ribosomal RNA
Rfam family: Bacterial large subunit ribosomal RNA
Source: RNAcentral